RNAcentral lists this unclassified non-coding RNA (552 nucleotides) under Zea mays. RNAcentral's name for it is "misc RNA Zm00001eb037800". Lineage: Eukaryota; Viridiplantae; Streptophyta; Magnoliopsida; Poales; Poaceae. The record is from RNAcentral.
UUGGCCGGUGGCGCUGGGGACUGCGCGGGAGGAUGCGCGCGCAGGGGCUUGGCUGCCGGAAACAGGGAGCAGCGGCUGAUGCUCCAUGAUUUAAACGGGGAAGAGGCAAGGAAUCGGCUGGAGCUCACUGCGACGAGGGAAUCGACGUCUAGACCGAGCACCAUGGUGGACGACAUCCAUGGCGAGCAGAGCACGGCUUCCAGGGAACUCAGCCGCCAGCAGAGAGAGCCGGAGAGGGACGACCUGGGCGCUCACCAAGGGAGCUCUGCAGGGCGCGGCACAAAUCCAAGGCACGCGAGAGGGAGAGAGCUGCACAGCCGAAGGCUCCAUGGCAGGGGCUGGCCGACGCAAGGGGCUGGGCGCCAUGAAAAAUCCGGCCGAGCAGAGCUCGGAGCUUCGCAGCAAAGGAGAUGGAGCAGGAGCCAAAGACGCAGUGUGAGAGAGAGAGCGCAGGGAGAACGAUGCCGUGGUAAGGAGCCGCUCGGUGGUGAUAUUUGUAGGGAUCCAGCGGCGGCCGGAGAAGAUCUUUUUUCCACCUCCACGCGCGGAUAG